AACGAACGCCGGCGGCGCGUCUUAAGCAUGCAAGUCGGACGGCAAGAAGAGAGCUUGCUCUCUUCCUAGAGUGGCGGACUGGUGAGUAACACGUGGGUGACGUACCCUUUAGCUGGGGAUAGCCGGUAGAAAUACCGGGUAAUACCGAAUAAUCUUGCUUCUUUGAAGUGAAGUAAGGAAAGGAGCUUCGGCUUCACUGAAGGAACGGCCCGCGCACUAUUAGCUAGUUGGUGAGGUAACGGCUCACCAAGGCAACGAUAGUCAUCCGGCCUAAGAGGGUGAACGGACACAUUGGGACUGAGAUACGGCCCAGACUCCUACGGGAGGCAGCAGCUAAGAAUAUUCCGCAAUGGAGGAAACUCUGACGGAGCGACGCCGCGUGGAUGAUGAAGGUCGGAAGAUUGUAAAAUCCUUUUAAGUAUGAUGAAUAACCUGAUCAGGAAUGGGACAGGGAUGACCGUAAUACUUGAAUAAGCAACGGCUAAUUACGUGCCAGCAGCCGACGG
RNAcentral lists this ribosomal RNA (506 nucleotides) under uncultured bacterium. RNAcentral describes it as "bacterial SSU rRNA". It matches the Rfam family "Bacterial small subunit ribosomal RNA", at positions 29 to 520 of the family's 1533-position model. The record is from RNAcentral.